RNAcentral lists this transfer RNA (67 nucleotides) under Marmota monax (woodchuck). Its description in RNAcentral is "tRNA.Gly". Lineage: Eukaryota; Metazoa; Chordata; Mammalia; Rodentia; Sciuridae. The record is from RNAcentral.
GGAUUGUGGCUCAGCGGUAGAGCGCUCGCCUACCAUGUGCAGGACCUAGGUUCGAUUCUCAGCACCA